This 21-nucleotide microRNA is filed under the name Shrimp white spot syndrome virus. RNAcentral's name for it is "wssv-mir216". Lineage: Naldaviricetes; Nimaviridae. The record is from RNAcentral.
UUUCUGGAACCAACCAUUUCU